This 463-nucleotide ribosomal RNA is filed under the name uncultured soil bacterium. RNAcentral's name for it is "bacterial SSU rRNA". It matches the Rfam family "Bacterial small subunit ribosomal RNA", at positions 35 to 476 of the family's 1533-position model. The record is from RNAcentral.
GCUGGCGGCGUGGAUAAGACAUGCAAGUCGAGCGAGAUUUUUCGUUGUAGCAAUACGAUGAAAAGUCUAGCGGCGAACGGGUGCUUAACACGUGGGCAACCUGCCAUGAAGUGGGGGAUAGCUCGCCGAAAGGCGAAUUAAUACCGCAUGUGAUUAGAGAGGACAUCCUUUCGAAAUUAAAGUCGGGGCAACCUGACGCUUCUUGUGGGGCCCGCGGCCUAUCAGCUAGUUGGUGAGGUAACGGCUCACCAAGGCUUUGACGGGUAGCUGGUCUGAGAGGACGACCAGCCACACUGGGACUGAGACACGGCCCAGACACCUACGGGUGGCAGCAGUCGAGAAUUUUUGACAAUGGGGGAAACCCUGAUCGAGCGACGCCGCGUGGAGGAUGAAGGUCUUCGGAUUGUAAACUCCUGUCAUUGGGGAACAAGGUGCAUACGUUAACUGCGUGUGUAUUGAUAGU